GGGUCACCAGGUGUUGUUGUCAGUACUGUACCUGAGUAACUUGUUGUAACAGGGUCACCAGGUGUUGUAACAGGGUCACCAGGUGUUGUUGUCAGUACUGUACCUGAGUAACUUGUUGUAACAGGGUCACCAGGUGUUGUUGUCAGUACUGUACCUGAGUAACUUGUUGUAACAGGGUCACCAGGUGUUGUAACAGGGUCACCAGGUGUUGUUGUCAGUACUGUACCUGAGUAACUUGUUGUAACAGGGUCACCAGGUGUUGUUGUCAGUACUGUACCUGAGUAACUUGUUGUAACAGGGUCACCAGGUGUUGUAACAGGGUCACCAGGUGUUGUAACAGGGUCACCAGGUGUUGUAACAGGGUCACCAGGUGUUGUUGUCAGUACUGUACCUGAGUAACUUGUUGUAACAGGGUCACCAGGUGUUGUAACAGGGUCACCAGGUGUUGUAACAGGGUCACCAGGUGUUGUAACAGGGUCACCAGGUGUUGUUGUCAGUACUGUACCUGAGUAACUUGUUGUAACAGGGUCACCAGGUGUUGUAACAGGGUCACCAGGUGUUGUUGUCAGUACUGUACCUGAGUAACUUGUUGUAACAGGGUCACCAGGUGUUGUAACAGGGUCACCAGGUGUUGUAACAGGGUCACCAGGUGUUGUAACAGGGUCACCAGGUGUUGUUGUCAGUACUGUACCUGAGUAACUUGUUGUAACAGGGUCACCAGGUGUUGUUGUCAGUACUGUACCUGAGUAACUUGUUGUAACAGGGUCACCAGGUGUUGUAACAGGGUCACCAGGUGUUGUUGUCAGUACUGUACCUGAGUAACUUGUUGUAACAGGGUCACCAGGUCUCUAGUUGUGUUGCCAUCAGCACUGAGCUCCAGACUGUUCAGGACUUUGGC
Long non-coding RNA from Oncorhynchus keta (chum salmon), 898 nucleotides. RefSeq lists it as uncharacterized. NCBI's taxonomy places the organism in Eukaryota, Metazoa, Chordata, Actinopteri, Salmoniformes, Salmonidae. The record is from RefSeq and is a predicted model, not a curated record. The transcript has 6 exons.